AAUGAACGUUGGCGGCGUGGAUUAGGCAUGCAAGUCGAGCGCGAUAUGUAGCAAUACAUGGAGAGCGGCGAAAGGGAGAGUAAUACGUAGGUAUCUACCCUCGGGUCUGGGAUAGCAGCGGGAAACUGCUGGUAAUACCAGAUAACGUCUCCGGACCAAAGGUGUGAUUCCACCUGAGGAGGAGCCUACGGCCUAUUAGCUAGUUGGUAGGGUAACGGCCUACCAAGGCAAGAUGGGUAUGGGGUGUGAGAGCAUGCCCCCACUCACUGGGACUGAGACACUGCCCAGACACCUACGGGUGGCUGCGGUCGAGAAUCUUCGGCAAUGGGCGAAAGCCUGACCGAGCGACGCCGCGUGCGGGAUGAAGGCCUUGGGUUGUAAACCGCUGUCGUAGUGGAGGAAAUGUAGGAGAGUUAUCUCUUCUACUUGACUAAUACUAGGAGGAAGGACCGGCUAAUCUCGUGCCAGCAGCCGCGGUAA
Molecule: ribosomal RNA, 480 nt
Filed under: uncultured bacterium
Lineage: Bacteria
Description: bacterial SSU rRNA
Rfam family: Bacterial small subunit ribosomal RNA
Source: RNAcentral